CCUACGGGGGGCAGCAGUGGGGAAUAUUGCGCAAUGGGCGAAAGCCUGACGCAGCGACGCCGCGUGAGGGAUGAAUGUCUUCGGAUCGUAAACCUCUUUCAGCAGGGAAGAACGGUCACUGUGCUAAUCAGCAGUGAAUUGACGGUACCUGCAAAGGAAGCACCGGCUAACUCCGUGCCAGCAGCCGCGGUAAUACGGAGGGUGCGAGCGUUAAUCGGAAUUACUGGGCGUAAAGCGCUCGUAGGCGGUAUGUCAAGUCAAGGGUGAAAUCCCCGCGCUCAACGUGGGAACUGCCUUUGAAACUGGCAGACUGGAGUGUGUGAGAGGAUAGUGGAAUUCCAGGUGUAGGAGUGAAAUCCGUAGAUAUCAGGAGGAACAUCAGUGGCGAAGGCGACUAUCUGGCACAUAACUGACGCUGAGGAGCGAAAGCGUGGGUAGCAAACAGGAUUAGAUACCCCUGUAGUC
RNAcentral lists this ribosomal RNA (465 nucleotides) under uncultured bacterium. RNAcentral's name for it is "partial 16S ribosomal RNA". It matches the Rfam family "Bacterial small subunit ribosomal RNA", at positions 338 to 795 of the family's 1533-position model. The record is from RNAcentral.